This is a long non-coding RNA of Pipra filicauda (Wire-tailed manakin), 1987 nucleotides long. RefSeq lists it as uncharacterized. The transcript is spliced from 3 exons. The record is from RefSeq and is a predicted model, not a curated record. Lineage: Eukaryota; Metazoa; Chordata; Aves; Passeriformes; Pipridae.
ACCACUGGAGAUGCUUAUAUGGUGUCCAGCAGCCUGCCUGUCCACAGUGGGAUGAACCACACCAAAGAAAUAGCUAUUAUGUCUGUGAAAUUCCCGAGUGCUGUGAUUACUUUGGAGAUCAGCCCUGCACCCAAAGAGGAGCAAUAACUGCAUUAUUGGCCUUCCCACUGGUAAACAUCCCGAGUUUGGCUGACUGUGAGGGGGUGUGGAGGUCCAAGCAUAAUGAAAGGACCUAGCAUUCUUCAGUCUUAAGAGCAUCUCCAAAUCACAAUUAAUUAUCCUUCUCAACAUCCUACCAGGUUGAUAAAAUCAACUCUUGGGUAAAAUGUCAGCUUUGCAAAUACCCUCAACAAAGAAAAGCAGAGAACUGAAAUAACCACCCUGAAAACAUGUACCCCCUGCUCACAGCAGGCACGGGGAAGCUUGCAUUGUUAUGGCAGAUAAUUGCUCAAGGCCUGAGUAUGGGAGAAUCUUGUUCCACAUUCUGUCAUUCAGUAUUCCUAAAUUAAAAAUGCUGGCAAAUUCCUUUCGACAGUUAGGAUUUUCUGAUUUGUACAAAAUACAAGUAUGUGUGUAAUUUCUUGAUAGAUAAAUGGUGAAAAGGUAAAAGUUAGUUAUACUGGUUUUAACCCAGUUAGUUAUACUGGUUCUUUCUCUUGGAACAAAAGCUUUUUUUGUACUAAUGUGAGUAACAAGUUCAAGGGAAAAGCCAGGAGCAGCUUGGGCUGAAAUGCCCUUUUCUUUUCAAAAUUAUAGAGAUACGAUAUGCUGUAUUACAUAGCAGAGAGUCACUGUACUCUUAAUGAAUUUUGCAUUUGUUCUCAAGAUAAGGGAAUGAAAUAGAAGAGAAAAAAAUAAUUUGUCUUGAAAUGCGAUAUAAAGUAUAAACCAUUUCUACACACAAUCUUAUCAGUCCAUUUCGUGGCCACUUGACACUCUCAGAUGCUCUUAAUAUAUUGUAUACCAAAGGCAGUACUGCUGACAUUGAAUUCUGCCACUGCCAAAUUGCAUAUUCAUUAUUGUUCAUAGUCAUGUGAGGUCGAGUUCGGUCAUUGCACACAAAGAACCUUUGUCUGGAUCUUUACUCCCUCCUUGCACAGUUUUUGGUUUCCUAACUUUUGUAGCAUUCUCUGGGCUGAAAGUUUCUUUUUAAAGAGGAUGCUGUGUACUCUUUUGUAAACAUGUCUCCAUUACUAAAAGUGACAUCAUGGGAAUCGCUGGACAUGAGCUUGGGGAACAGAGCCAGAGCUGAGGCAACGCAAAAAGAAGUCCCCUUGUCCCUUCUCCCCCCUCCUCCCCAUAGCACUGUCUAGCAAACAGGUACUUUGUUGAACUCUGUUGGAAGCUUCAUGAGGAAUUUAAAAAUAGGAAGGACUAAGAAAAAAAGGGUCCUGCCAGCUCUUUCUCAUCUGCAGGCUGCUAUGCACAAAUGUGGUCAGAAGCUUAUUCACACAAAGCCAGGGUUCUGCUCAUUUGCCAUCAUAUGCAAAUUACCUCCCUGGACUCACUGGCACGGUUAACACUUCGGUUUAAGAAGUUUAAAAAGAUGGAUUGCAAAACUCAGGCAUGCUCCCACUCCUACUGAGAUCAGUGGCAAGCCUCCCAUUGACUUCAAUGGAAGCAGGAUAGAGUCUCCAUUUUCUGGAAGCGAAACCCAGCGGUAUUUGAGCUUUUUGGAGCACAUGCAGCUCUGAAAGUCUGUUCCUUUGAGGCACUCCAAAAUUUUUCCCAUUUGCUUGAUUCCAUGGCAACACAACAUCACCACCAAGCUUUCAGUACUGAAAUGAGAUUUUACUACUAAGCCUGAGGAUUUAUACAAGUGUAAAAAGAUCUUGCUAAGCUGCAAUUUCCAUUAGACUAAUUCAGGAUCCUUUUCAAAUAAGUGGCAAAAUUAUCUCUGGAUUUAUUUUACAAUACGACAAGAAUUUUCUAAGGUUAGAAAAACAAGAAAACUGCUUUACAAUCAUAAUGGAAACCUUUUUUUAUU